CCUACGGGGGGCUGCAGUGGGGAAUUUUGGACAAUGGGGGCAACCCUGAUCCAGCCAUGCCGCGUGCGGGAAGAAGGCCUUCGGGUUGUAAACCGCUUUUGUCAGGGAAGAAAUCUUUCGGGUCAAUACCCCGGGGGGAUGACGGUACCUGGAGAAUAAGCACCGGCUAACUACGUGCCAGCAGCCGCGGUAAUACAGAGGGUGCAAGCGUUAAUCGGAAUCACUGUGGGUGAAGCGUGCAUAGGUGUGCGAAAUCCACGGGCUUAACCUGGGAACUGAAUUCGAUACUACAUGGCUAGAGUAUGGUAGAGGGAAGUGGAAUUUCCGGUGUAGCGGUGAAAUGCGUAGAUAUCGGAAGGAACACCAAUGGCGAAGGCAGCUUCCUGGACUAAUACUGACACUGAGGCACGAAAGCGUGGGUAGCAAACAGGAUUAGAUACCCGAGUAGUC
RNAcentral lists this ribosomal RNA (450 nucleotides) under uncultured bacterium. RNAcentral describes it as "partial 16S ribosomal RNA". It matches the Rfam family "Bacterial small subunit ribosomal RNA", at positions 338 to 795 of the family's 1533-position model. The record is from RNAcentral.